UGGGACCUUAGGGCCAUGCGCCAUUUGAUGAACCCAUAUGGGAUUAGCUAGUAGGUGAGGUAAUGGCUCACCUAGGCGACGAUCUCUAGCUGGUCUGAGAGGAUGACCAGCCACACUGGGACUGAGACACGGCCCAGACUCCUACGGGAGGCAGCAGUGGGGAAUAUUGCACAAUGGGGGAAACCCUGAUGCAGCCAUGCCGCGUGUAUGAAGAAGGCCUUCGGGUUGUAAAGUACUUUCGGUAGCGAGGAAGGGGUUAUAUCUAAUAGGUGUAACCAUUGACGUUAACUACAGAAGAAGCACCGGCUAACUCCGUGCCAGCAGCCGCGGUAAUACGGAGGGUGCGAGCGUUAAUCGGAAUGACUGGGCGUAAAGGGCAUGUASGCGGAUAGUUAAGUUAGGUGUGAAAGCCCCGGGCUCAACCUGGGAAUUGCAUUUAAAACUGGUUAUCUGGAGUAUUGUAGA
Molecule: ribosomal RNA, 465 nt
Filed under: uncultured bacterium
Lineage: Bacteria
Description: bacterial SSU rRNA
Rfam family: Bacterial small subunit ribosomal RNA
Source: RNAcentral